Molecule: non-coding RNA, 1008 nt
Organism: Myodes glareolus (Bank vole)
Lineage: Eukaryota; Metazoa; Chordata; Mammalia; Rodentia; Cricetidae
Source: RefSeq, a predicted model, not a curated record
CUUUCUUUUGUUUUGUGUUUUUUGAACAUUUUGAUAACUAUAUGUAUCUCUUGUAAUUGUUUAUUAAUUUUCUGUAUCAUUUCUGGUUUUAAUCAGUGAACUUCACUCUUCCUUCUUGGUUUGAUUGGCAUUUUUUGACUAAGCCAGGUACUGUGAAUCUUCGUAGACAUGGAAUCUGCCAGAUCUCUGUUUUUAAGGUGUGAUAUAUUGGGCAGAACAGUACUUAGCCUUGUAUGAUUAUCCACACCUUUGGACGUUACAGUCUCCAGAGCACUUUAUGGGACUGGAGAGGUGAAGGUCAGAGGACAGUGUAUGGGUGUCAACUUUCUUCCUCUACCACAUGACUUCUGAGGAUAAUACUUGGGCCAUCAGGUGCCAUGCUUGGCUCCAAGUGCCUCUGCCUGCUGACCCAUUUUGGAGCACUGGGAUUGUAGACUUCCACUACCAUGCCUGUCUUUAUAUGGGCACUGAAGAUUCAAACCCAGGUCUUCAGGAAUGGCAACAAGCAUCUUCCUACUAAGAUAUCUCCCCAGCCCAUGAUUUUUUCUCUCCUAGCUGGUUGUUAUGGUUUGCAUCUGAAACAUCCCCCUCAAGCUCAUGUGUUUGAACACUUGGUCUCCAACUGUUGGUGCUGUCUUGGACGGUCAUGGAACCUUUGGGAUGUAGAGACUAGCAAGUAGAUGUAAGACAUUAAGGGCUGACCUUGAACGUUGUAGCCAGUUCUGCUUCUAGUCUAACUCUCUGCUUCCUGAUUCCAUGAUGCGACCAGGCACAAGCUCCUGUCACCAUGAGCUAAGUUGUUCUAGUUGCUAUGCUUUUCCAUUAUGGAUUGUACCUUCUGGAACUGUGAGCCAAGCAGACCUGUCUUUCACUUAAGUAGCUUGCAGCCCCUUAUUCUGUUAUAGAGCUGGGAAAAUUAGCUAAGCUAAUAAAAUGUUAGCUAGGGGCUGGAGAGAUGUCUCAGAAACUAAGAACACUGGCUGCUCUUGAAGAGGACUCAGGUCCAUU